AGAACGAACGCUGGCGGCAGGCUUAACACAUGCAAGUCGAACGCGUGUAGCAAUACACGAGUGGCGCACGGGUGAGUAACGCGUGGAUAUCUGCCUUUUGGUUCGGAAUAACCCCGGGAAACUGGGGCUAAUACCGGAUGGUUCCUACGGGAUAAAGAUUUAUCGCCAAAAGAUGAGUCCGCGUACGAUUAGCUAGUUGGUGAGGUAAUGGCUCACCAAGGCGACGAUCGUUAGCUGGUCUGAGAGGACGAUCAGCCACACUGGGACUGAGACACGGCCCAGACUCCUACGGGAGGCAGCAGUGGGGAAUAUUGGACAAUGGGGGCAACCCUGAUCCAGCCAUGCCGCGUGAGUGAUGAAGGCCUUCGGGUUGUAAAGCUCGUUUUGGCGGGGACGAUGAUGACGGUACCCGCAGAAUAAGCCCGGCUAACUUCGUGCCAGCAGCCGC
RNAcentral lists this ribosomal RNA (448 nucleotides) under uncultured bacterium. Its description in RNAcentral is "SSU rRNA". It matches the Rfam family "Bacterial small subunit ribosomal RNA", at positions 26 to 518 of the family's 1533-position model. The record is from RNAcentral.